AUUUGCUGUGAAUGAGAGCUGUGCCAAGAGAUCUUACUGGAAAACCCACAGAGUUAUACACAACAUUACACACGACAUAACAUAAACAUGAGUACACAGAGUCACAGAAGAAGAAGAAAAACACGAAGACGGAGAGUAAGAAGAUCACAACAGUCAAAACAAAGAAUGUAAUUUUGUUCAUUGUUAUGUUGUACAAGACCAGAAAAACUGUGUGUGUGUGUGUGUGUGUGUGUGUGUGUGUGUGUGUGUAAGCUGCUCUUUCUGUCCUCACACAACCCACACUAGGUAAGAAAUCAAAUGUGAAAGAGCAUUAA
Larimichthys crocea (large yellow croaker) is the source of this 314-nucleotide long non-coding RNA. RefSeq lists it as uncharacterized. The transcript is spliced from 2 exons. The record is from RefSeq and is a predicted model, not a curated record. Lineage: Eukaryota; Metazoa; Chordata; Actinopteri; Sciaenidae.